GAUUUCUGGUGUGAUGCGCCUGACCCAUCCACUUCAGUGGCGUGAGUGUCGGUGCGCGUCUGCCAUCCUUCUAGAGAACGGGCCUGUCCUUCACUGGGUGGGUUCGCGAUCUAGAUCUUUUACUUUGAAAAAAUUAGAGUGUUUAAAGCAGGCUUUUGCUAUGAAUACAUUAGCAUGGAAUAAUAAUCUAGGACUUCGGUUCUAUUUUGUUGGUUUCUAUAACUGAAGUAAUGAUUGAUAGGGAUAGUUGGGGGUGCUAGUAUUGGCCGGCCAGAGGUGAAAUUCUUGGAUUCGGUCAAGACUAACUUAUGCGAAAGCAUU
Molecule: ribosomal RNA, 321 nt
Filed under: uncultured Rhogostoma
Lineage: Eukaryota; Cercozoa; Thecofilosea; Cryomonadida
Description: SSU rRNA
Rfam family: Eukaryotic small subunit ribosomal RNA (bases 104-321)
Source: RNAcentral